CGCUAUUUUGUGCAUUUUUCCUUUGAUUUUUUUGGUGAUAAUUUUUCAUAUCAUGCUACUCGACUGAGAUGGAAAAUUAUUGCUAGAAACUAAGGAGAUAUGUGGCGUUACUAAUGAAAUUGACAUGAAAUUGACAACGUCGUCAUAGGUAAAAUAGCGAUAAACAGAUUAUCAUUGGUCAUCUCAACUCGAUUGCUUUUCUCGGUUUCGCCGUACCGGCUCAAGCGAGAAAAUCAAUCUCGCUGAGAUGAUCAACGAUAAUCUAUAAUUAUACACUCAA
RNAcentral lists this long non-coding RNA (280 nucleotides) under Mytilus galloprovincialis (Mediterranean mussel). The record is from RNAcentral. Lineage: Eukaryota; Metazoa; Mollusca; Bivalvia; Mytilida; Mytilidae.